UAUACCGUGAAACUGCGAAUGGCUCAUUAAAUCAGUUAUCGUUUAUUUGAUAGUACCUUACUACUUGGAUAACCGUGGUAAUUCUAGAGCUAAUACAUGCUGAAAAUCCCGACUUCGGAAGGGGUGUAUUUAUUAGAUAAAAAACCAAUGCCCUUCGGGGCUCCUUGGUGAUUCAUAAUAACUUCUCAGAUCGCAUGGCCUUGCGCCGGCGACGGUUCAUUCAAAUUUCUGCCCUAUCAACUUUCGAUGGUAAGGUAUUGGCUUACCAUGGUUUCAACGGGUAACGGGGAAUUAGGGUUCGAUUCCGGAGAGGGAGCCUGAGAAACGGCUACCACAUCCAAGGAAGGCAGCAGGCGCGCAAAUUACCCAAUCCCGACACGGGGAGGUAGUGACAAUAAAUACUGAUACAGGGCUCUUUUGGGUCUUGUAAUUGGAAUGAGUACAAUUUAAACCUCUUAACGAGGAACAAUUGGAGGGCAAGUCUGGUGCCAGCAGCCGCGGUAAUUCCAGCUCCAAUAGCGUAUAUUAAAGUUGUUGCAGUUAAAAAGCUCGUAGUUGAACCUUUGGCCUGGCUGGCAGGUCCGCCUCACCGCGUGCACUUGUCCGGCCGGGCCUUUUCUUCUGGAGAACCGCAUGCCCUUCACUGGGUGUGUUGGGGACCAGGACUUUUACUUUGAAAAAAUUAGAGUGUUCAAAGCAGGCCUUUGCUCGAAUACGUUAGCAUGGAAUAAUAGAAUAGGACGUGCGGUCCUAUUUUGUUGGUUUCUAGGACCGCCGUAAUGAUUAAUAGGGACCGUCGGGGGCAUCAGUAUUCAAUUGUCAGAGGUGAAAUUCUUGGAUUUAUUGAAGACUAAAUACUGCGAAAGCAUUUGCCAAGGAUGUUUUCAUUAAUCAGUGAACGAAAGUUAGGGGAUCGAAGACGAUCAGAUACCGUCGUAGUCUUAACCAUAAACUAUGCCGACUAGGGAUCGGGCGGUGUUAUUAUUUUGACUCGCUCGGCACCUUACGAGAAAU
RNAcentral lists this ribosomal RNA (1014 nucleotides) under Phragmocamarosporium rosae. RNAcentral describes it as "SSU rRNA". It matches the Rfam family "Eukaryotic small subunit ribosomal RNA", at positions 75 to 1098 of the family's 1831-position model. The record is from RNAcentral. Lineage: Eukaryota; Fungi; Ascomycota; Dothideomycetes; Pleosporales; Lentitheciaceae.